GAUGAAGAACGUAGCGAAAUGCGAUAAGUAAUGUGAAUUGCAGAAUUCAGUGAACCAUCGAAUCUUUGAACGCACAUUGCGCCCGGCAGUAAUCUGCCGGGCAUGCCUGUCCGAGCGUCAUUUCUGCCCUCGAGCGAGUCCAGCAUCUAGGUGCUGGGCCCGCCCGGCGUUGGGGCACUACGGGAAGCCCUGUGCUGUCCCCCGUAGGCCCCGAAAUGAAGUGGCGGUCCUGCCGCGGCGCCCCCUGCGUAGUAUAACAGCUCGCUUCGGGACACGGUGGAGGCCUGCCGUCAAACCUUACUCUCUAAGUUUGACCUCGUAUCAGGUAGGGUUACCCGCUGAACUUAAGCAUAUCAAUAAGCGGAGGA
This 368-nucleotide unclassified non-coding RNA is filed under the name soil metagenome. Its description in RNAcentral is "partial contains 5.8S ribosomal RNA, internal transcribed spacer 2, and large subunit ribosomal RNA". The stretch from base 1 to 120 matches the Rfam family "5.8S ribosomal RNA", at positions 35 to 154 of the family's 154-position model. The record is from RNAcentral.